UCUCCACCCGAGACUCAGUGAAAUUGAACUCGCUGUGAAGAUGCAGUGUACCCGCGGCAAGACGGAAAGACCCCGUGAACCUUUACUAUAGCUUGACACUGAACAUUGAGCCUUGAUGUGUAGGAUAGGUGGGAGGCUUUGAAGUGUGGACGCCAGUCUGCAUGGAGCCGACCUUGAAAUACCACCCUUUAAUGUUUGAUGUUCUAACGUUGACCCGUGAUCCGGGUUGCGGACAGUGUCUGGUGGGUAGUUUGACUGGGGCGGUCUCCUCCUAAAGAGUAACGGAGGAGCACGAAGGUUGGCUAAUCCUGGUCGGACAUCAGGAGGUUAGUGCAAUGGCAUAAGCCAGCUUGACUGCGAGCGUGACGGCGCGAGCAGGUGCGAAAGCAGGUCAUAGUGAUCCGGUGGUUCUGAAUGGAAGGGCCAUCGCUCAACGGAUAAAAGGUACUCCGGGGAUAACAGGCUGAUACCGCCCAAGAGUUCAUAUCGACGGCGGUGUUUGGCACCUCGAUGUCGGCUCAUCACAUCCUGGGGCUGAAGUAGGUCCCAAGGGUAUGGCUGUUCGCCAUUUAAAGUGGUACGCGAGCUGGGUUUAGAACGUCGUGAGACAGUUCGGUCCCUA
Molecule: ribosomal RNA, 622 nt
Filed under: Escherichia coli
Lineage: Bacteria; Pseudomonadati; Pseudomonadota; Gammaproteobacteria; Enterobacterales; Enterobacteriaceae
Description: partial 23S ribosomal RNA
Rfam family: Bacterial large subunit ribosomal RNA
Source: RNAcentral